GUGAACGAGGUGUGGGCAGUGUAGAAGCCGUCUGUGCCGGAGCAAACGCGAUAAGUUCACCGCCUGGGGAGUACGGUCGCAAGGCUAAAACCCAAAGGAAUUGACGGGGGCCCGCACAAGCAGCGGAGCGUGUGGUUUAAUUCGAUGCAACGCGAAGAACCUUACCUGGGCUUGACAUGUACGUAGUAGUGAAGGGAAACCGGAACGAGCCUUCGGGCAGCGUAGACAGGUGCUGCAUGGCUGUCGUCAGCUCGUGUCGUGAGAUGUUGGGUUAAGUCCCGCAACGAGCGCAACCCGUGUUGCUAGUUACAAGUGUCUAGCGAGACUGCCGGUAACAAGCCGGAGGAAGGUGCGGAUGAUGUCAAGUCAGCAUGGCCUAUAUGUCCAGGGCUACACACACGCUACAAUGGCCGGUACAAAGAGAAGCGAAAGGGAGACCUGAAGCGAAUCUCAUCAAAGCCAGUCAUAGUUCGGAUUGCAGGCUGCAACUCGCCUGCAUGAAGUCGGAGUUGCUAGUAACCGCAGGUCAGCAAUACUGCGGUG
This 543-nucleotide ribosomal RNA is filed under the name uncultured bacterium. Its description in RNAcentral is "bacterial SSU rRNA". It matches the Rfam family "Bacterial small subunit ribosomal RNA", at positions 811 to 1364 of the family's 1533-position model. The record is from RNAcentral.